CUUUACUGUAGCUUGGAAUUGAGUUUGGGUUUAUUUUGCGCAGUAUAGGUGGGAGGUUAAGAUAGUAAGCUUGAGGGUUUAUUGGAGCCAAUAGUGAGAUACCACUCUAAGUAAACUAGAAUUCUAACCUUGAUAGUCGUUAACCGGCCAAGGAACAGUUUCAGGUGGGCAGUUUGACUGGGGCGGUCGCCUCCUAAAAGGUAACGGAGGCGUGCAAAGGUUCCCUCAGGCUGGUCGGAAAUCAGUCGUAGAGUAUAAAGGCAUAAGGGAGCUUGACUGCAAGACCUACAAGUCGAGCAGAGACGAAAGUCGGCCUUAGUG
Molecule: ribosomal RNA, 321 nt
Filed under: Gibsmithia hawaiiensis
Lineage: Eukaryota; Rhodophyta; Florideophyceae; Gigartinales; Dumontiaceae
Description: bacterial LSU rRNA
Rfam family: Bacterial large subunit ribosomal RNA
Source: RNAcentral